AACGAACGCUGGCGGCAGGCCUAACACAUGCAAGUCGAACGCCCUAGCAAUAGGGAGUGGCGCACGGGUGAGUAACGCGUGGGAACGUGCCUUUCAGUCUGGAAUAACUGCGGGAAACUGCAGCUAAUACCGGAUAUUCUCUACGGAGGAAAGGUUUAUCGCUGAAAGAUCGGCCCGCGUUAGAUUAGGUAGUUGGUGGGGUAAUGGCCUACCAAGCCUACGAUCUAUAGCGGGUCUGAGAGGAUGUUCAGCCACACUGGAACUGAGACACGGUCCAGACUCCUACGGGAGGCAGCAGUGGGGAAUAUUGGACAAUGGGCGCAAGCCUGAUCCAGCCAUGCCGCGUGAGUGACGAAGGCCUUAGGGUUGUAAAGCUCUUUUGUCAGGGAAGAUAAUGACGGUACCUGAAGAAUAAGACACGGCUAACUUCGUGCCAGCCGCCGCCGUAA
This 449-nucleotide ribosomal RNA is filed under the name uncultured bacterium. RNAcentral describes it as "partial 16S ribosomal RNA". It matches the Rfam family "Bacterial small subunit ribosomal RNA", at positions 29 to 523 of the family's 1533-position model. The record is from RNAcentral.